CGCGGCCUAUCAGCUUGUUGGUAAGGUAACGGCUUACCAAGGCUAAGACGGGUAGCUGGUCUGAGAGGAUGAUCAGCCACACUGGGACUGAGACACGGCCCAGACUCCUACGGGAGGCAGCAGUGGGGAAUAUUGGACAAUGGGGGCAACCCUGAUCCAGCCACGCCGCGUGAGUGAUGAAGGUUUUCGGAUCGUAAAACUCUGUCCUAAGGGACGAAUUGUCUGGAUGCGAAUAGUGUCUAGAUUUGACGGUACCUUUGGAGGAAGCACCGGCUAACUCCGUGCCAGCAGCCGCGGUAAAACGGAGGGUGCAAACGUUGCUCGGAAUUACUGGGCGUAAAGCGCAUGCAGGCGGUUUAUUAAGUUUCGUGUGAAAGCCCUGGGCCUAACCCAGGAAGUGCACGGAAAACUGGUAAACUAGAGUACUGGAGAAGUGGGCGGAAUUCCGGGUGUAGAGGUGAAAUUCGUAGAUAUCCGGAGGAACACCAGUAGCGAAAGCGGUUCACUUGACAGAUACUGACGCUCAGAUGCGAAAGCGUGGGGAGCAAACAGGAUUAGAUACCCUGGUAGUCCACGCCGUAAACGAUGAGCACUAGGUGUCGGGGGCUUGACCCCUUCGGCGCCAAAGCUAACGCAUUAAGUGCCCCGCCUGGGGAGUACGG
This 662-nucleotide ribosomal RNA is filed under the name uncultured bacterium. RNAcentral's name for it is "bacterial SSU rRNA". It matches the Rfam family "Bacterial small subunit ribosomal RNA", at positions 232 to 885 of the family's 1533-position model. The record is from RNAcentral.